This is a long non-coding RNA of Arabidopsis thaliana (thale cress), 497 nucleotides long. RefSeq annotates it as other RNA. The transcript has a single exon. The record is from RefSeq. Lineage: Eukaryota; Viridiplantae; Streptophyta; Magnoliopsida; Brassicales; Brassicaceae.
AAGGUCCCACGUGCUUUAUCCAACACUCUUUAUUAAAUCCUGAAUAAAAGUAUCUCAAAGUGACAAAGAUUUCUAUAACAUAAAAAGGUUUGGCUCUUAUAAGUCAUAUCUAGAAAAAGAAAAUUCGUUGCUAACUUUGUAACGUGCUAAAGUAUUCUCGAAAAUACUACUACCUCAAGAUUAAAGUACACAAAAAAAAAAAAUUGGAUACCCAUAGUUUCUUUUUAAGAUUGGGCUUGGAGCUUGCAGGUGGGCUCUCAGGAAUGUAUAUCGGAGAUUUUGAGUGUGGUCAAGGAAGGUGUUGAGUUUGCCUUCCAUUUGCAACCCGACUCUCAGUGCCUGACAUCAUUGGCAUGUAAGACUGAUGACUCUCUGAGCAAAUAGGAAGCUCUCUGCUAAUAAAUAACUUUAUGUAUAUGCUCUUGUUUGCUUGCUGGUUGCAUAUAUAAAGUUAUAUAAAUCCAUCAUUUCAAGUUUAGACAUUACCACCAUGAAAU